UACGUAGGUCCCGAGCGUUGUCCGGAUUUAUUGGGCGUAAAGCGAGCGCAGGUGGUUUAUUAAGUCUGGUGUAAAAGGCAGUGGCUCAACCAUUGUAUGCAUUGGAAACUGGUAGACUUGAGUGCAGGAGAGGAGAGUGGAAUUCCAUGUGUAGCGGUGAAAUGCGUAGGUAUAUGGAGGAACACCGGUGGCGAAAGCGGCUCUCUGGCCUGUAACUGACAUUGAGGCUCGAAAGCGUGGGGAGCAAACAGG
RNAcentral lists this ribosomal RNA (252 nucleotides) under uncultured bacterium. Its description in RNAcentral is "partial 16S ribosomal RNA". It matches the Rfam family "Bacterial small subunit ribosomal RNA", at positions 524 to 776 of the family's 1533-position model. The record is from RNAcentral.